AGUGAACGCUGGCGGUAGGCCUAACACAUGCAAGUCGAACGGCAGCACAGUAAGAGCUUGCGCUUACGGGUGGCGAGUGGCGGACGGGUGAGGAAUACAUCGGAAUCUACUUUUUCGUGGGGGAUAACGUAGGGAAACUUACGCUAAUACCGCAUACGACCUACGGGUGAAAGGAGGGGAACUUCGGACCUUGCGCGAUUGAAUGAGCCGAUGUCGGAUUAGCUAGUUGGCGGGGUAAAGGCCCACCAAGGCGACGAUCCGUAGCUGGUCUGAGAGGAUGGUCGGCCACACUGGAACGGAGACACGGUCCAGACUCCUACGGGAGGCAGCAGUGGGGAAUAUUAGACAAUGGGCGGAAGCAUUAUCCAGCCAUACCGCGUGGGUGAAGAAGGCCUUCGGGUUGUAAAGCCCUUUUGUUGGGAGAGAAAAGCAGCAGGUUAAUACCCCGCUGUUCUGACGGUACCCAAAGAAUAAGCACCGGCUAACUUCGUG
RNAcentral lists this ribosomal RNA (492 nucleotides) under uncultured bacterium. Its description in RNAcentral is "partial 16S ribosomal RNA". It matches the Rfam family "Bacterial small subunit ribosomal RNA", at positions 29 to 507 of the family's 1533-position model. The record is from RNAcentral.